CAGUAGCCGCGGUAAUACGUAGGGUGCAAGCGUUAAUCGGAAUUACUGGGCGUAAAGCGUGCGCAGGCGGUUAUAUAAGACAGAUGUGAAAUCCCCGGGCUCAACCUGGGAACUGCAUUUGUGACUGUAUAGCUAGAGUACGGCAGAGGGGGAUUGAAUUCCGCGUGUAGCAGUGAAAUGCGUAGAUAUGCGGAGGAACACCGAUGGCGAAGGCAAUCCCCUGGGCCUGUACUGACGCUCAUGCACGAAAGCGUGGGGAGCAAACAGGAUUAGAUACCCGGGUAGUCCCUGUCUCUUAUAC
This 301-nucleotide ribosomal RNA is filed under the name uncultured bacterium. RNAcentral describes it as "partial 16S ribosomal RNA". It matches the Rfam family "Bacterial small subunit ribosomal RNA", at positions 509 to 807 of the family's 1533-position model. The record is from RNAcentral.